This 253-nucleotide ribosomal RNA is filed under the name uncultured bacterium. Its description in RNAcentral is "partial 16S ribosomal RNA". It matches the Rfam family "Bacterial small subunit ribosomal RNA", at positions 524 to 776 of the family's 1533-position model. The record is from RNAcentral.
UACGAGGGGGGCAAGCGUUGUUCGGAAUUACUGGGCGUAAAGCGUGCGCAGGCGGUGAGCUGUGUCCGAUGUGAAAGCCCCGGGCUUAACCUGGGAAUGGCAUUGGAAACUGGCUCGCUGGAGUGUGGCAGAGGGGGGUGGAAUUCCGCGUGUAGCAGUGAAAUGCGUAGAGAUGCGGAGGAACACCGAUGGCGAAGGCAGCCCCCUGGGCUAACACUGACGCUCAGGCACGAAAGCGUGGGGAGCAAACAGG